Molecule: ribosomal RNA, 259 nt
Filed under: uncultured bacterium
Lineage: Bacteria
Description: partial 16S ribosomal RNA
Source: RNAcentral
CUGCUGCCUCCCGUAGGAGUCUGGUCCGUGUCUCAGUACCAGUGUGGGGGACCUUCCUCUCAGAACCCCUACGCAUCGUCGCCUCGGUGGGCCGUUACCCCGCCGACUAGCUAAUGCGACGCAUGGCCAUCCUGUGCCGGAGUCGCCUCCUUUGACCCCAAGAAGAUGUCUCCAAAUGGUGUUAUGCGGUAUUAGACGGAAUUUCUUCCGCUUAUCCCCCUGCAUAGGGCAGGUUCCAUACGUGUUACUCACCCGUGCG